UCAACUGGGAUGAUGGAAACCCAUACGUUUGGGGAUGAGAUUGACCUGAGUUUUAAUCUCAUCACUGCCAUUCAUUAGUUGUGAGAUUAUUCAUUCAUUCAAAAUAGGUCAGAUAUGGGAUAAAAGCUUCAAAACCUAUUCCUAAGAAAUGACUAUCUAGUGAUGGAUACAGAGGAGUAGAUUGUAAGACUAUGAUAAAUGGAGGAAAAAAUGGAAGGGAGGAAGGACAGAGAGGGAGCACUGAAUCCAGUGUUGCUUGGGGUGGUUGUGGUGGUCAGAAAUCAUGGGUUGCUUCCUGGAAGAAGCAUCAAAGCAUAGGGCUUCCUCCGGGAAGCAUUGGGAAUGGAGAGGCAUUAGCAUGCAGGAGAAGAGGUGUGCAGCAGGGAUGGUGUUCCAGGCAGAAGUCCAUGGGCAAACGUGAGCAUGGAGUGGAAAGGGGUAGUGGGAGGCAGACCAGGCUGAAAGGGGAGCAGGGGCUGAACAAUGAAGGCCAUGAAAGCUGUUCUAAAGUUUCAAAUUUAUCAGAGGUCAAGGGAGAACUGUGGGAGUGUGUGAAGCGGAGAAAAGGCCUGAGCACCAUGCAUUUUCAAGCAUUUUUGGCUGCUCUGUGAAAAACAGACCAAAGGGGACAGAGGUAGGAAGUGGGGACAAAAGUCCAGAGGCUAUCACAUAGUGCAGGUGAGAGAUGGUGGCAGCUGGGAUGAAGGAAGGCUGUGGGGUUGUAACAGUCACCCAUGGAACUGGAGGAUGUUUGGGAUGUAGUCACAGGAUCUUAGGGGAAGAACACAAUAUUAUUAGGUGCCAGAUGCUUCAAUUGCUUCAUGUUAUUUCUUGCAACAUCCCUGUGAGGUGGGCAUGGACCUGACUGGGUGAGUGACGUCCCCACAGCUGGCAAGUGGCAGUGGCAGAACUCAAACCCAGGUCUGUCUGUCCCCAGACCUGUGGUUUUUCACCACUGGAUCAUGCAGUUUUCCUAAGUCAAAUGUAAUAAGUUAUUCUUACCAUAUUUCAAUUAAGGCCCAUAGAAGUUUUACCAAUUCUGGAAAAUUUAAAUGGAGUGAUAAAUGCACUGAAGAGGAAAGACUGAAGAAAGUUGUUGAUUGAGAUCUUUGGAAUGACCAUCCGCAUCCAUCUCCAGUCAUCAUCCUCUCUGGGAUUUUGAGGGAAACAAGACUGCAAAGCAGCGUCCCCUUUGUAAAUAUUCAACAGAGUUCUUCCUUAACUGUUGUUCCCCGGGUUCUUUUGCACAAAUUACAUGUUCCUCCUACCCUGGCUUUAAUCAUCACAACCUUGAAUCCUCAUCAAGCUCUCUGCCCUAUCUCAAACCAGUGCUUAAAGGACACUCUUACCCUUAGAAGAAAUGGUAUAAUUUUCAUAAACAUGGGUCAUUUCCCCCUUGCAUAAAUGUCAGAUACAAAACCACCACUUAACAAGAUGUGCCAGAAAUAUAGAAUGUCUGAACAAAGGCUGUUGACAAUAGUAUCUUUUUUUUCCUUUUUUGUAGUUCUGUGAAAUUGCUCUCCCAAAAUAUUCCUAAUGCUUUAUUUACUUCAGUGUUGGGUUUAUUUUGGGAUAAACUUUCCUGAAGCUGAAUCUUAGGAUGUGAUUCUUAUCCUGGUCACAUCCUGGGGAGUUGUUUUGUGACUUUUUUUGAAUGGGUCCUGGCUCUUCCAGGGAGCCCCUGGUGCUGAGGAAGAGGCAGGGGCCAGAGGAUGUCAACUCCCGUGUGCAGGACAAAGACAGAGAUGACAAACCAUCGGCUUGGGUGGAAAUACUCCCCAAAGGAGAGCCUGCGCCGCCUGGUCUCCAACAAUGGCAGAAGUGAACCCAGCUCAGACUUUAUCAAUGAUCUAUUCCGGAGAGUGGAAAUUUUGGUUGUGAGGCAUGCUGGAACCUUACCAGCCAGCAGACACGAAGGGGAGGAAGUCCAGGCGGGGCCAGGAAUGAGACUGUGGGAAUUGACCAGAAGGCGGCACCAUGGCUUAGCUUUCAUGUCAGACAGAUCUGCGUGGGCACCCUGCUUCCCUGAGCCUCAGUUUCCUUGCUAGCAGAGUGGAGGUGAGAGUUGAAUUAAAGAAUGUCAUGCCUGGCAUACAGUAAGGGCUCCAGAUGGGAGUUCUGCUCUUUUUUCUCUUUCCCUGAGUGGCUAGAAGUCUAAUGAGUGUCUUAAGGGUGAGGUGAACUGAGGUUUCGUCCAGCCUAUGGUUGGUCUGACUUGAGGGAUAGAUGGUCUUCAGUGAGAAUCGUAAGUUAGAGCUUGGAGUUCAAGAGACUUGGCCUAGCUCUGAGAGAUGAGGGACAAGGGCUGGCCAGAGAAAGAUUGUCCAGAUCCUGAGGCUUCUGAGCUCAGGGUUGGGCUUUAAUCUGAACUUUGAUCAGUGAAGAAGCUGACAUAACCCCAGGUUUAUCCUGGAUUAUACAGUAUAGAGCCAUGGUUCUCAGUGUGGCUUGAGGACCCUGGAGGAACCUGGAGGAACCUGAGGUACUUUCAGAGGUUCAUGAGAUCAGAACUAUUUUUAUAAUGCUACUAAGAUGUAAUUUUCCCUUUUCACUGGUUGAUGUUUAAACUGAUGGUGUAAAAGCAACAGUGGUAAAGAGCUGGUGCUUUAGUUUGGAUCAAGGUAGUGGUAGCAAACUGCAGUGGUUAUCAUUGUAUUACUCACCACCACAUGCGCAUGGUAGGAAGAAAAAAGACAGUUUCACUUAAUGUCCUUGAUGAAGCAAUAAAAAUGAUCAAAUUUGUUAAACUUCAGCCUUCGAGUGCCUGGCCUGUCUUUUUAAUGAUUGGUGUGAUGAGAUGAGAAGUGUGGGUAAAGCUUUUCUGUUGCCUACAAAAGCACAGUGGUGGUCUCAAGGAAAAGCACCGGAGUGAGUGAGUGUGUUGGGAGCUGAAGUAGCCAUUUUCUCCAUAGAAAACCAUUUUCCUGGAAAGAACAAUUGACAAACACGCUGCAAUUGGCAGACACAACACCUGCACACACCCCCACACGUAUCCACCCACACAUAUAUGUAUUUAAAUGAUGAAGUCAGGGCUUCAAGGAAAUGAAGUUACUUCAAGAAAAACAAAUGUCAGUAUGUACUGCCAGUGAUAAAAUUUGAGAGUUCAAAUGAACAAUUGGGAUUUUUGAAAACUUGUAUCUUUCACUGUGAGCUGGUUUCAGAUUCCACAUGGCAGUGACCCUUUGAAAAUCCACCACUUGUCGAGUUUUGGUGUACUAUCAAAGAGGAAUGUCCACAGUUAUCUGAACAGAUUAUUAAAAUGCUUCUCCCUUAUCCAACUUCAUGACUGUUUGAGGCCAGGUUUCUUCAUAUACUUCAAUCAAGUAACACAAGACAAUAGGCUGAAUGCAAAAGAUAUGUGAAUCUACUUUGUAUGUUAAUAAGUCAGACAUUAAAGAGAUUGCAAACAUGU
Non-coding RNA from Macaca mulatta (Rhesus monkey), 3412 nucleotides. NCBI's taxonomy places the organism in Eukaryota, Metazoa, Chordata, Mammalia, Primates, Cercopithecidae. The record is from RefSeq and is a predicted model, not a curated record.